ACAUGGUUGCAAUUGUUUCCUGAAGGUUUGCUCAUUUGAUAAACUUGGAGUUCUUCGAUGAUUUGUUGGUGGUGCUGUACGGCCUCAUCACAUCGGGUGAUCUGACGUAUCGCGAGAGCCUUCACUGCAUCCUCACAUCCUUCCACAUCCUCUCAGGACAAGGUGACGUCCUCAACAUCGACCCUUUGAAAUUCUACAACCACUUCUACAAAACCCUGCUGACGCUGCACGCAGGUGAGAUCUCCAGUGUCUCUUUGUUCUGCACACCGAGUUAUUUAAUAUGAGCGAGAACAUCCCGUCACUUAG
This is a long non-coding RNA of Sinocyclocheilus rhinocerous, 306 nucleotides long. RefSeq lists it as uncharacterized. The transcript is spliced from 3 exons. The record is from RefSeq and is a predicted model, not a curated record. NCBI's taxonomy places the organism in Eukaryota, Metazoa, Chordata, Actinopteri, Cypriniformes, Cyprinidae.